AUGAACGCUGGCGGCGUGCCUAAUACAUGCAACUCGAGCGAACAGACGAGGAGCUUGCUCCUCUGACGUUAGCGGCGGACGGGUGAGUAACACGUGGAUAACCUACCUAUAAGACUGGGAUAACUUCGGGAAACCGGAGCUAAUACCGGAUAAUAUAUUGAACCGCAUGGUUCAAUAGUGAAAGACGGUUUUGCUGUCACUUAUAGAUGGAUCCGCGCCGCAUUAGCUAGUUGGUAAGGUAACGGCUUACCAAGGCAACGAUGCGUAGCCGACCUGAGAGGGUGAUCGGCCACACUGGAACUGAGACACGGUCCAGACUCCUACGGGAGGCAGCAGUAGGGAAUCUUCCGCAAUGGGCGAAAGCUUGACGGAGCAACGCCGCGUGAGUGAUGAAGGUCUUCGGAUCGUAAAACUCUGUUAUUAGGGAAGAACAAAUGUGUAAGUAACUAUGCACGUCUUGACGGUACCUAAUCAGAAAGCCACGGCUAACUACGUG
RNAcentral lists this ribosomal RNA (496 nucleotides) under uncultured bacterium. Its description in RNAcentral is "partial 16S ribosomal RNA". It matches the Rfam family "Bacterial small subunit ribosomal RNA", at positions 29 to 507 of the family's 1533-position model. The record is from RNAcentral.